RNAcentral lists this ribosomal RNA (251 nucleotides) under uncultured prokaryote. Its description in RNAcentral is "partial 16S rRNA". It matches the Rfam family "Bacterial small subunit ribosomal RNA", at positions 525 to 775 of the family's 1533-position model. The record is from RNAcentral.
ACAUAGGAUCCAAGCGUUGUCCGGAUUUACUGGGUAUAAAGGGUGCGUAGGCGGCCUUGUGCGUCAGAGGUGAAAUCUCCGGGCUUAACCCGGAGGGUGCCUUUGAUACGGCAGGGCUUGAGUGCGAGAGAGGAUGAUGGGAUUCCUGGUGUAGGAGUGAAAUGCUGGAAUAUCAGGGGGAACACCGGUGGCGAAGGCGUUCAACUGGCACGGAUCUGACGGUGAGGAACGAAAGCUGGGGGAGCAAAUAG